AGCCUGAUGCAGCCAUGCCGCGUGUAUGAAGAAGGCCUUCGGGUUGUAAAGUACUUUCAGCAGUGAGGAAGGGGGUGUCGUUAAUAGCGGCAUCUCUUGACGUUAGCUGCAGAAGAAGCACCGGCUAACUCCGUGCCAGCAGCCGCGGUAAUACGGAGGGUGCGAGCGUUAAUCGGAAUUACUGGGCGUAAAGCGCAUGCAGGUGGUUUGUUAAGUCAGAUGUGAAAGCCCGGGGCUCAACCUCGGAACUGCAUUUGAAACUGGCAAACUAGAGUACUGUAGAGGGGGGUAGAAUUUCAGGUGUAGCGGUGAAAUGCGUAGAGAUCUGAAGGAAUACCAGUGGCGAAGGCGGCCCCCUGGACAGAUACUGACACUCAGAUGCGAAAGCGUGGGGAGCAAACAGGAUUAGAUACCCUGGUAGUCCACGCCGUAAACGAUGUCUACUUGGAGGUUGUGGCCUUGAGCCGUGGCUUUCGGAGCUAACGCGUUAAGUAGACCGCCUGGG
This 505-nucleotide ribosomal RNA is filed under the name Vibrio sp. HDEP2. Its description in RNAcentral is "bacterial SSU rRNA". It matches the Rfam family "Bacterial small subunit ribosomal RNA", at positions 380 to 877 of the family's 1533-position model. RNAcentral also lists the same sequence under 1 other name. The record is from RNAcentral. Lineage: Bacteria; Pseudomonadati; Pseudomonadota; Gammaproteobacteria; Vibrionales; Vibrionaceae.